This 303-nucleotide ribosomal RNA is filed under the name Triticum aestivum (bread wheat). RNAcentral describes it as "partial small subunit ribosomal RNA". Lineage: Eukaryota; Viridiplantae; Streptophyta; Magnoliopsida; Poales; Poaceae. The record is from RNAcentral.
AUGGGGGAUACAUUUCCUAAGAAUAGCGACGGGAAGAGCAGCGGCAGCGGUGGUGGAAAGUACACGUCGCCGGCGGCCGGGAGGUCGACCACAAGCGACGGUGAUGGUGCCGUGGUGCUGGCUGCUCCGUCAAGAGCCACCAAUGUGCCCGUACAGUACCCUAUGCUGACGGACACGAAUUACUCUCUGUGGGCCAUCAAGAUGAAAGUUCUGAUGAAGGCCCUCCGUGUCUGGUCGGUGAUUGACGGCUCCGGCGAGUACGACCAAGCGGCGGACGAGGGGGCCUUCGCGGCGCUCUCUUAG